Long non-coding RNA from Herpailurus yagouaroundi (jaguarundi), 291 nucleotides. RefSeq lists it as uncharacterized. NCBI's taxonomy places the organism in Eukaryota, Metazoa, Chordata, Mammalia, Carnivora, Felidae. The record is from RefSeq and is a predicted model, not a curated record. The transcript has 3 exons.
AAAAAGGAAGAAAUAAGGGAGGGCAGAAAGGAAGGAAAAUUUAAAGAUGAAAAAGUCAAUUACUCUUCCCACACUUGCUCACCCUUGGACUUACUGCAUUAAUAUCAGCUUAGCAAUAUCUACUUGUCGGGUAUAGGCUGUGUACAGAGCACUAUGUGAGAGAGUAAAAAAGAAAAUACAUCAUCCCAGGAUUUGAGUCACUAACUCAGCUCUGCUCUCUUCUACAACCCCAUGAAAGAUGGUAACUCCAUCUGUCCUGCAAACUUUCAGCCGACUUCAUUACAAAAAUAC